RNAcentral lists this transfer RNA (66 nucleotides) under Rubeotermes jheringi. RNAcentral describes it as "tRNA-Leu". Lineage: Eukaryota; Metazoa; Arthropoda; Insecta; Blattodea; Termitidae. The record is from RNAcentral.
UCUAACGUGGCAGAUAAGUGCGGUGGAUUUAAGCUCCAUAAAUAAAGUUUCUUACUUUCAUUAGAA